AAGUCGUAACAAGGUUUCCGUAGGUGAACCUGCGGAAGGAUCAUUAAAUGAGUAACGGCGCCUCGGUGCCCACUCCCACCACAUGUGAACCCUUAACUGUUGCUUUGGCGGGUAGGUACCCGUACUGUACCGCCCAGCGCUUGCUGGGAGGUGCCCGUCAGAGACUCCCAAACCCGCUCAACUGUGGUAUCUGAGAAAGCUUAAUAAUAAAACUUUUAACAACGGAUCUCUUGGUUCUG
This 239-nucleotide unclassified non-coding RNA is filed under the name air metagenome. RNAcentral's name for it is "partial contains small subunit ribosomal RNA, internal transcribed spacer 1, and 5.8S ribosomal RNA". The stretch from base 1 to 46 matches the Rfam family "Eukaryotic small subunit ribosomal RNA", at positions 1786 to 1831 of the family's 1831-position model. The record is from RNAcentral.